Molecule: long non-coding RNA, 591 nt
Filed under: Marmota monax (woodchuck)
Lineage: Eukaryota; Metazoa; Chordata; Mammalia; Rodentia; Sciuridae
Source: RNAcentral
GUAGUUUAUGCCCAUCCACUUUCUUCUAAGUUGUUUUCAUCCACCACCUACUUGCCCUUCAUACUGGGGAAUUGGACCUAACAAUAGAAAUUGUCAAGAACGGGUGGUUUGGAGAGACUGGAGCCGGAAUCCAGAUGUGCAUUCUGCUCCAGUACAAGGCGAUGAACCAGGAUUGCUGAGUGAACACGGUUCAAGGAGAGUUUUCUAGUUAUAUUAAAUGUCUUGAAGCAGGACAUAUAGUUUGCUACAAGUGGUGUUGAUGAAUCACACAGAUGCACAGAGGGCAGAAGGCACCUGUGGAAGAGUGUGUCUGGACACAAGUCCUUUGGAGAAUUCCCUUUGCUAAGAGAAGUCAUACCAUUUGGUGGGCAGGGCACAGAUUCCAGAUUCAUGGGUUCUAUCAUUUGGAGGCUGGGGCCUCCAAGAAAACUGAGAUGGCAUGAAGGCCCCCCUCCAAACCCCAGAUCUUGCAAUCAAGUCAGAAUGAUUUCAGGCAUGUCACUCAGAGUAAUGGGAACAAGUUUAUUGAAGCGAUAGGAUCACCUGAGUGGUGACUGGAGGCAGGUGGGGUGUGGCUGGAGGAGGUGGCUC